UCUCCAAAUGCGUGUGCGCAGCACACCCGCUCUCGCCUCCGCCAGCAGUGCGCUUCCCUUCGAGUUGUCGUAGCAGCUCUCGGUGCGGAUUUCUAGCUUCUCACUCCGAUACAACUCGAGGGACGACUUUUCUUCUGCGGCUUUCCGCCACGCAGCUGCCUCUCUCUGUCGCACCUGACUCCGUGUUCCCCUGCCCAUUGAGUCCCCCUGCUGCUUCGACCGCGUGACUGCAGUUGCCAGACUCGAUUCGCAAACUGUGUGGAUGCGAGUGGAGGAGCAAGGCGAUGACGGUGAUGACGGUCUUUAUUCUGUGGGUGAUGGUGAUAACGUGACGGCGGGCAGUGCGACGGGAAGUGUGUCGAGGCGUCGAGUGCUCCUUCAGCUUCUUGCGAUGUGACCGAUAUCUUGCACGACAGCCACUUUGAACCACUGCUUAUCGUGUGAGAACUUUCCUUGUGGAGUUUAAGCGGUUGUGCGGUUGAAGGCUCUGCUCAUUCAAGCCAGAUUUGAGAUUUUGUCAUUGCUCCUGCCAUCCCCGUCAUGAGUACCAACGACCAUAACGCGUAAUUCCAUGCUUCAUGCUGCACCUUCAGAAUCACAUGGCCCACUUGCAAGAAGCUCAGAUCCAGCAUUGGACAUUGCUGUCCACUACAUCAAGCCCUUAAGGUGUGGUGGCCGUGAAUCUUCUGUAGUAGUGUCGACCUUGCCAGACGAUUUGACGUCCUAGCUUUGGCGCAGCAAGUUGGCGAGCCGCAUCUGCUGGACAGCUUAUCAGUCUGCAUGUGGUACAAUGCCCUUGCCCAGAGGCCCUAUUCUGCACCUUAGAGAAACUGCUGCUCAGUGUUGUGCCUAUUGCACUGCUUGCUGUGUAUGCAGCACCCAUGCAUCGCUGGCACAGCCCUCAGGGAAACAUGCAGGUGGCACGCCUUCAAGAGCUGGCCACUGCUCACGGGGCCAAAUUCUAUGCGAUACCACCCACCGUGCGUCUACGGAGCAGACCUAAUGAAGCAUAUUUUGUGUGUGAAUCCGGCGUCCCGGAGGUGUAAAUAAAAGUGUUCUGGAGGAAACAAA
Molecule: long non-coding RNA, 1071 nt
Organism: Dermacentor silvarum
Lineage: Eukaryota; Metazoa; Arthropoda; Arachnida; Ixodida; Ixodidae
Exons: 2
Source: RefSeq, a predicted model, not a curated record